CCUGCGCACGUUCUCCACCUCGCUCGCUCACUCCCUCCAUUAGCCUUCUUCUCAAAUCGAAUCCAUAGCGAUCUCAGCUUCUCGAAUCGAAUCCAUUGCUCCAGCUUGGCCUCUCCUCGGGAGCAGGUGCACCACAUGGAUCGCUUUUGGUUUGGGUGUCAGUUCUUCCACAUGAUUUCAUCACUACCAUGCUACAUCUCUGUGUCGACAAGUAGAAAGGGUUAAUAGUCAGGCGAUAUCUUCCCUGUCAACAAAAAUUCUUCUUUGAUGUGAGGACAGUGGAUCAAUUCCAGUGCCAAACACACUGAUAAAGUUGCAUGGCAGUAUUUAUUAUUGCAUGUGCAUGGAAAAAAGGCAGGUCACGGGUCACAUUUCACUUCCUGCUUACUGCCACCACCGUUGGAUGAAUGAUCUCAUGGUGCUAAGUAUCGGAAGGAGAACGAAGAGGACAGCAGUGAUGAUGGUGUCUUAAAUUUUUUUUUUCUUUCAGGUACCAGUCAGAAAAGAGAACAUCUUUGUUCAAUGACUCGCCAGCAGCUGGCCAUGGUAAAUGUUAAUCUUGACACUGUUGCUGCCUGGAGGCCCUGCUUUGGCUUUUAUUGAAUGCAAUGAUGACUUUGUAACUUUCUACUUGGUUGAUCUCAAAUAAUUGAGCUGAGCUAGGUUAGGUUCAUUCUGAA
This is a non-coding RNA of Phoenix dactylifera (date palm), 680 nucleotides long. The record is from RefSeq and is a predicted model, not a curated record. Lineage: Eukaryota; Viridiplantae; Streptophyta; Magnoliopsida; Arecales; Arecaceae.